AUUCAACAUUUAAGCACAACUCUCUUCCUCACCAAUCUCUCUCAUUCCUAACUUUUUCCCUUUUCUUUUUCUUUUGCAUUAAGCUCUUCUUCAUGCUUUUCUUCUUUUCUUUUCUUUUUCUCAUGAAUUUUUCUUUUCACAACAUUUGAGCUCAAUGCUUUUCACUUGCUUUUUCAAUUUUCCCCUGCACAACCCCAAACUUGAACCUUUUCAUCACAUGCAAUUAACCUCACCCCAACUCAAGGUAAAUAAUUUCAAGACAAGGGUUCACAUCCUGUUUAAGGCUAAGGUUCAAAAAGGGUAUAUAAUCUUUUCAAGCACUUUGGUUGAAAAUUUGGCUAGAGAAGGGUUUUCAAAAAUGGCCUUGAUCAUAUGACAUUUACAAGCAAUUCAAUCAAUCAUAAAGAUUAAGGCAAUAUCAUUCAUUUUUCCUGUGAACAAUGCAUGCAACAAUAAGAACUCCGGAGCUUAAAAUCUCACACACCUGCUUCCUCACACAAAAUUCAAUCAUGCAUCCUGCUUAGCAUCAUAACCACAAUCAUAAUUCAUCACACAUCUAUUUCACAGAAUAUCAACAUGCAUUGCAUCUCAAUUCUCAUCCACAUCAAAUAGUCAUCAAAGAGAUCCAUCAUGCACAUCAGUCAAUCAAACAUUUUCAGAACAAGUAGUAAAGCCAAGAGUACACAUUGAAAUUAAAAUUCAACAUAUUCUAGAAAUUUAAACUUGCAAAAGUGUAAGAAGAAAUCUAGGUUGCCUCCUAGUAGCGCUUGUUUAACGUCACAAGCCUGACCCAAACCUGUUUAGCACUUGUCAGUAAGUGCAAUUCCAUCCACCAC
RNAcentral lists this long non-coding RNA (836 nucleotides) under Vigna radiata. Its description in RNAcentral is "long non-coding RNA (VRAD_LNC017746)". Lineage: Eukaryota; Viridiplantae; Streptophyta; Magnoliopsida; Fabales; Fabaceae. The record is from RNAcentral.